AUACGUAGGGUGCGAGCGUUGUCCGGAAUUACUGGGCGUAAAGAGCUCGUAGGUGGUUUGUCGCGUCGUCUGUGAAAUUCCGGGGCUUAACUCCGGGCGUGCAGGCGAUACGGGCAUAACUUGAGUACUGUAGGGGAGACUGGAAUUCCUGGUGUAGCGGUGAAAUGCGCAGAUAUCAGGAGGAACACCGGUGGCGAAGGCGGUGCUGUGGGGAGUAACUGACGCUGAGGAGCGAAAGCAUGGGUAGCGAACAGGAUUAGAUACCCUGGUAGUCCAUGCCGUAAACGGUGGGCGCUAGGUGUAGGGGUCUUCCACGACUUCUGUGCCGUAGCUAACGCAUUAAGCGCCCCGCCUGGGGAGUACGGCCGCAAGGCUAAAACUCAAAGGAAUUGACGGGG
This 398-nucleotide ribosomal RNA is filed under the name uncultured bacterium. RNAcentral's name for it is "partial 16S ribosomal RNA". It matches the Rfam family "Bacterial small subunit ribosomal RNA", at positions 523 to 918 of the family's 1533-position model. The record is from RNAcentral.